Molecule: ribosomal RNA, 419 nt
Filed under: bacterium
Lineage: Bacteria
Description: partial 16S ribosomal RNA
Rfam family: Bacterial small subunit ribosomal RNA
Source: RNAcentral
UGGGGGAUAUUGCACAAUGGGCGAAAGCCUGAUGCAGCGACGCCGCGUGGGGGAUGAAGGCCUUCGGGUUGUAAACUUCUUUUGCUCUGAACAAGGCGCACCAUGGGGUGUGUUGAGUGUAGGGGUUGAUUAGCGCCGGCUAACUACGUGCCAGCAGCCGCGGUAAUACGUAGGGCGCGAGCGUUGUCCGGAAUUAUUGGGCGUAAAGGGCUUGUAGGUGGCUGGUUGCGUCUGUCGUGAAAGCUCAUGGCUUAACUGUGGGUUUGCGUUGGGUACGGGCUGGCUUGAGUGCAGUAGGGGAGGCUGGAAUUCCUGGUGUAGCGGUGGAAUGCGCAGAUAUCAGGAGGAAUACCGGUGGCGAAGGCGGGUCUCUGGGAUGUUACUGACACUGAGGAGCGAAAGCAUGGGGAGCGAACAGG